This 764-nucleotide ribosomal RNA is filed under the name uncultured Thermotogae bacterium. RNAcentral describes it as "bacterial SSU rRNA". It matches the Rfam family "Bacterial small subunit ribosomal RNA", at positions 9 to 793 of the family's 1533-position model. Lineage: Bacteria; Thermotogati; Thermotogota; Thermotogae. The record is from RNAcentral.
GAGUUUGAUUAUGGCUCAGGGUGAACGCUGGCGGCGUGCCUAACACAUGCAAGUCGAGCGGUGCAGCUGGAGGCUUCGGCCGAAGGCUGCAUAGCGGCGGACGGGUGCGUAACGCGUAGGAACGUGCCCCCUGGAGGCGGAUAGCCGCGGGAAACUGCGGGUAAACCGCCAUAUACUCGGGAGAGUAAAGGCCGUAAGGCGCCAGGGGAGCGGCCUGCGUCCCAUCAGGUAGUUGGUAGGGUAACGGCCUACCAAGCCUACGACGGGUAGCCGGUCUGAGAGGAUGGCCGGCCACAAGGGCACUGAUACACGGGCCCUACUCCUACGGGAGGCAGCAGUGGGGGAUAUUGGACAAUGGGCGGAAGCCUGAUCCAGCGACGCCGCGUGGAGGACGAAGCCCUUCGGGGUGUAAACUCCUUUUGUCGGGGAAAAAGGACUGAUGGUACCCGACGAAUAAGCCCCGGCUAACUACGUGCCAGCAGCCGCGGUAAUACGUACGGGGCGAGCGUUACCCGGAAUCACUGGGCGUAAAGGGUGCGUAGGCGGCCGCGUGUGUCUGGCGUAAAAUACCACAGCUCAACCGUGGGAAUGCGCUGGAAACUACGCUGGCUUGGGUGCGGCACAGGCAUACGGAACUGCUGGUGUAAGGGUGAAAUCCGUAGAUAUCAUCAGGAACGCCGGUGGAGAAGUCGGUCUGCUGGGCCGUAACCGACGCUGAUGCACGAAAGCUAGGGGAGCGAACCGUGAUUAGAUACCCGGGAUAG